AAUCAUCGAGCACUCAAAUUGGAGAUUACAAAAAGCUUUGAGAAGUUAAUAAAUGUUUGAAAAGUUAUGUUGUUGCAAUGUUUUGAUCCAUUUUUCAUGUUGUAUGGUUAUAAUUUUUUUCCUUACAUCAGAGGGAAAUUAUAAGGAAAAAAAUUAUAACCAUACAACAUGAUUACCGGAAGUGCUAGUCUCAUUCUAACCCAAUUUCUAACCCCUCACCACUCGGGCUAACCCCAAGCACUUCCAUUUAUCAUUGAUAUGCUUGAGAUUUACAAAUAAAAUCAUUGUCAAUAAUUACAUUGUACGAGUCAUGAUUGUAUUAUUCGUCGACAGCUUGCACGUGCACGUGGAGUCUGAUAGCCACUUUUACUGAAAUCGACCAUGCCAGACUUGUGGCUGGCAAAUUGCAAUGCUGUUGGUUUGGCCUUUCAAUCAAUAUUUGGUCGGUUGGCAUGGAGGAUCUUACCAAAUCUCAUGUGAUACACAAUUAUUCUGUUUUUCCUUUGACCAAAAACAAAACAGAAUUCGGCUGAUCUAGUAUUCAGGAAUUGAUGAGAACGUCUUCCAUGCUCCGAGUUUGGAGUGCUCGGGUUGUUUGGGCCCAGUCACGUGAGCAGUACCAUGUAGGUGGGAAAGGCUUAGCCUGUUCCCCGGUAGUCAAUAACAUCUCUCAUCAUCUCUUCUUCUCUCUGCUCUCUCUCUCUCUUUUUGUUUCACACUGAGAGAUGACGAACGAGGACGAAUUGCUUGGGUAACUCAUCAAAAUUGCUUGAGUAAAUUGCUUCUGACCAACAUCACAAACGAUUCCUCUUUCGAAUUCAUGGCCUUGGACGCCAUAACCAAUUCAAUCCCAGCAAAAAGCAAAAGCACGCCAUACAACACAACAGAAGCACCACUCCUACCCCCGAAUCGGUACUGCCCAGCUAGCCCACCGUCUCCAUGGCACACCGGCAUUGCCCCGAACCAGCACCAAACAAGGUUCAUGGAUCUGAGGCUGACUUUCACGAAAAACCCAGAAAUCCAAGUCUUCAAAAUUAAACCGAAUUCGAAAACAAAUUAUACCAAAGUGUAUAGCAUGAUGAGUGGAUAGCAUGGUGAGUAGAAGAAGUUUCUUGCCUCAUGCAUCCCCAACAGUCACCGGAUUCGCCGGAAAAAUAUGAAGAAGCUUUCGGCCUUCGAUUCUCCCUCUUCGGGACAAACCAGUACCAAAGGAAGGUCGGCGACAAUGAGAUGAAUCGAACGGCACGGGUGUGACACCGUGAAGUGGCCGAACGGAGGAUUCCAGCAGGUCGCCGACUCAGGUCGUCGGGUCGCGGGGACCGGGUUGGGAGUCCAAUGCAUUGAUCUAAUUUUUUUUUUUUUUUUUUUUUUUUUAAGAUGAUGUAUUGAUCUCAUAUGAGCCACAUAUAUAAUCUUCAUAUAUUUUAAUUUAGGGCCCUGAUCAAGCAGUGGACAAACAUACGGCUUAGAUUGCA
This is a long non-coding RNA of Rosa rugosa (rugosa rose), 1475 nucleotides long. RefSeq lists it as uncharacterized. Lineage: Eukaryota; Viridiplantae; Streptophyta; Magnoliopsida; Rosales; Rosaceae. The transcript has 2 exons. The record is from RefSeq and is a predicted model, not a curated record.